Molecule: ribosomal RNA, 27 nt
Filed under: Saccocoelium tensum
Lineage: Eukaryota; Metazoa; Platyhelminthes; Trematoda; Plagiorchiida; Haploporidae
Description: partial 28S ribosomal RNA
Source: RNAcentral
GCUGAACUUAAGCAUAUCACUAAGCGG